RNAcentral lists this ribosomal RNA (468 nucleotides) under uncultured bacterium. RNAcentral's name for it is "partial 16S ribosomal RNA". It matches the Rfam family "Bacterial small subunit ribosomal RNA", at positions 28 to 507 of the family's 1533-position model. The record is from RNAcentral.
GACGAACGCUGGCGGCGUGCUUAACACAUGCAAGUCGAACGGACAGGCCCUGCUCUUGUGGGGUGCUCGAUUGGCGAACGGGUGAGUAACACGUGAGUAACCUGCCCCUGACUGUGUGAUAACUUCAGGAAACUGCGGCUAAUACCCGAUAUGAUCUCCUGCAGCAUGGUGGUGGUUGGUAAGUUUCGGCGGUUGUGGAUGGUUUCGCUGCUUAUCCGCUUGUUGGUGGGGUUGUGGCUUACCAAGGCUUUGACGGGUAGCCGGCCUGAGAGGGUGACCGGCCACAUUGGGACUGAGAUACGGCACAGACUCCUAAGGGAGGCAGAAGUGCGGAAUAUUGCAGAAUGGGCGGAAGGCUGAUGAAGCAACGCCGCGUGCGGGAUGACGGCCUUCGGGUUGUAAAACGAUUUGGACUGUGACGAAGCGUGAGUGACGGUAAUGGGUAAGGAAGCACCGGCUAACUACGUG